CCUACGGGGGGCAGCAGUAGGGAAUAUUGCUCAAUGGGGGAAACCCUGAAGCAGCAACGCCGCGUGGAGGAUGAAGGUUUUCGGAUGGUAAACUCCUUUUGUUAGAGAAGAUAAUGACGGUAUCUAACGAAUAAGCACCGGCUAACUCGGUGCCAGCAGCCGAGGUAAUACGGGGGGUGCAAGCGUUACUCGGAAUCACGGGGCGUAAAGCGCGCGUAGGCGGGAUAGCAGGUCAGUUGUGAAAUCCUAUGGCUUAACCAUAGAACUGCAUUUGAAACUGUUAUUCUAGAGUAUGGGAGAGGUAGGUGGAAUUCUUGGUGUAGGGGUAAAAUCCGUAGAGAUCAAGAGGAAUACUCAUUGCGAAGGCGACCUGCUAGAACAUAACUGACGCUGAUGCGCGAAAGCGUGGGGAGCAAACAGGAUUAGAUACCCGGGUAGUC
RNAcentral lists this ribosomal RNA (440 nucleotides) under uncultured bacterium. RNAcentral describes it as "partial 16S ribosomal RNA". It matches the Rfam family "Bacterial small subunit ribosomal RNA", at positions 338 to 795 of the family's 1533-position model. The record is from RNAcentral.